Molecule: small RNA, 164 nt
Filed under: Gopherus agassizii (Agassiz's desert tortoise)
Lineage: Eukaryota; Metazoa; Chordata; Testudines; Testudinidae
Description: TUC338 (ENSGAGG00000016209.1)
Source: RNAcentral
UUAACAGCCCUGGAAACCAAAGUCCUCUUGGCACAAAACAAGUUGGGUAAAGCCAGCAGCGGUGUAAGCUUACCCAUACCAGUGUGCCCCAAUUCAGACACAAGUAAGUAGCAACCCAGAGUGGUAAGCGCUCAGUCUCCAUGCCCAUUCAGUCCUUUGUCUCU